Molecule: ribosomal RNA, 253 nt
Filed under: uncultured bacterium
Lineage: Bacteria
Description: partial 16S ribosomal RNA
Rfam family: Bacterial small subunit ribosomal RNA
Source: RNAcentral
UACAGAGGGUGCAAGCGUUAAUCGGAAUUACUGGGCGUAAAGCGUGCGUAGACGGUUGCGUAAGUCAGAUGUGAAAGCCCCGGGCUCAACCUGGGAAUUGCAUUUGAGACUGCGUAGCUAGGGUGCGGAAGAGGGAAGCGGAAUUUCCGGUGUAGCGGUGAAAUGCGUAGAUAUCGGAAGGAACACCAGUGGCGAAAGCGGCAUCCUGGACCAAUACUGACGCUGAGGAGCGAAAGCCAGGGGAGCAAACGGG